UGGGGAAUAUUGCACAAUGGGCGCAAGCCUGAUGCAGCCAUGCCGCGUGUGUGAAGAAGGCCUUCGGGUUGUAAAGCACUUUCAGCGAGGAGGAAGGUGGUGAGCUUAAUACGCUCAUCAAUUGACGUUACUCGCAGAAGAAGCACCGGCUAACUCCGUGCCAGCAGCCGCGGUAAUACGGAGGGUGCAAGCGUUAAUCGGAAUUACUGGGCGUAAAGCGCACGCAGGCGGUUUGUUAAGUCAGAUGUGAAAUCCCCGGGCUCAACCUGGGAACUGCAUUUGAAACUGGCAAGCUAGAGUCUCGUAGAGGGGGGUAGAAUUCCAGGUGUAGCGGUGAAAUGCGUAGAGAUCUGGAGGAAUACCGGUGGCGAAAGGCGGCCCCCCUGGACGAAGACUGACGCUCAGGUGCGAAAAGCGUGGGGAGCAAAACAGGAUUAGAUACCCUGGUAGUCCACGCUGUAAAACGAUGUCGA
This 473-nucleotide ribosomal RNA is filed under the name uncultured bacterium. RNAcentral's name for it is "partial 16S ribosomal RNA". It matches the Rfam family "Bacterial small subunit ribosomal RNA", at positions 355 to 815 of the family's 1533-position model. The record is from RNAcentral.